This 356-nucleotide ribosomal RNA is filed under the name Klebsiella ornithinolytica. Its description in RNAcentral is "partial 23S ribosomal RNA". It matches the Rfam family "Bacterial large subunit ribosomal RNA", at positions 167 to 561 of the family's 2925-position model. The record is from RNAcentral. Lineage: Bacteria; Pseudomonadati; Pseudomonadota; Gammaproteobacteria; Enterobacterales; Enterobacteriaceae.
UAGCUUAACGAAGCGAACCGGGGGAACUGAAACAUCUAAGUACCCCGAGGAAAAGAAAUCAACCGAGAUUCCCCCAGUAGCGGCGAGCGAACGGGGAGGAGCCCAGAGUCUGAAUCAGCGCGUGUGUUAGUGGAACGGUCUGGAAAGUCCGGCGGUACAGGGUGAUAGCCCCGUACACUAAAAUGCACACGUUGUGAACUCGAAGAGUAGGGCGGGACACGUGGUAUCCUGUCUGAAUAUGGGGGGACCAUCCUCCAAGGCUAAAUACUCCUGACUGACCGAUAGUGAACCAGUACCGUGAGGGAAAGGCGAAAAGAACCCCGGCGAGGGGAGUGAAAAAGAACCUGAAACCGUGU